GGCGCACGGGUGAGUAAUAUAUAGGUAACGUGCCUCUUAGUCUGGGAUAGCCAUUGGAAACGAUGAUUAAUACUAGAUACUCCUUCUCAUUAUAAUUUGAGUCGGGAAAGUUUUUCGCUAAGAGAUCGGCCUAUAUCCCAUCAGUUAGUUGGUAAGGUAACGGCUUACCAAGGCAAUGACGGGUAGCGGGUUUGAGAGGAUGAUCCGCCACACUGGUACUGAGACACGGACCAGACUCCUACGGGAGGCAGCAGUGAGGAAUAUUGCACAAUGGAGGAAACUCUGAUGCAGCAACGCCGCGUGGAGGAUGACGCAUUUCGGUGUGUAAACUCCUUUUAUAAGGGAAGAAAAUGACGGUACCUUAUGAAUAAGCACCGGCUAACUCCGUGCCAGCAGCCGCGGUAAUACGGAGGGUGCAAGCGUUACUCGGAAUCACUGGGCGUAAAGGACACGUAGGCGGGUUGUCAAGUCAGGUGUGAAAUCCUACAGCUUAACUGUAGAACUGCACUUGAAACUGGCAACCUAGAGUAUGGGAGGGGGAGAUGGAAUUAGUGGUGUAGGGGUAAAAUCCGUAGAUAUCACUAGGAAUACCGAAAGCGAAGGCGAUCUCCUGGAACAUUACUGACGCUAAGGUGUGAAAGCGUGGGGAGCAAACGGGAUUAGAUACCCCGGUAGUCCACGCCCUAAACGAUGAACACUAGUCGUCGGGAUGCUAGUCAUCUCGGUGAUGCACUUAACAGAUUAAGUGUUCCG
RNAcentral lists this ribosomal RNA (753 nucleotides) under uncultured bacterium. RNAcentral describes it as "bacterial SSU rRNA". It matches the Rfam family "Bacterial small subunit ribosomal RNA", at positions 97 to 871 of the family's 1533-position model. The record is from RNAcentral.